GGCCUAUUGAUUAUAAUUUGAGGUYUGACCUGCCCAAUGAUAGAUAGUAUUGAAUGGCCGCGGUAAUUUGACUGUGCAAAGGUAGCAUAAUAAUUAGUUUUUUAAUUGAAAGCUUGUAUGAAAGGUUUGAUGAGAAGAUAGCUGUCUCUAUUUAAAUUUAUUAAAAUUUUAUUUUUAAGUAAAAAGGCUUAAAUAUUUAUAGAAGACGAGAAGACCCUAUAGAGUUUUAUAUUAAGUAAUAUAAUAAGAAUUUAGAAUUAUGAAUUUUUAUAUUACUUAGUAUUUUGUUGGGGUGACAAAAAAAUUUAUUAAACUUUUUUUAUAUAAAAACAUUAAUUAAUGAAUUUUUGAUCCUUAAAUAAAGAUUAUAAGAUUAAAUUACCUUAGGGAUAACAGCGUAAUUUUUUUUUAKAGUUCAAAUUGAAAAAAAAGAUUGCGACCYCGAUGUUGGAUUAAAAAUAAUUAUUGGKGUASCASCUAAUAAAUUAGGYCUGUUCGACCUUUAAAAUUUUACAUGAYCUGAGUUUAAACCGGUGUGAA
This 540-nucleotide ribosomal RNA is filed under the name Poropteropis papillosus. Its description in RNAcentral is "partial 16S large subunit ribosomal RNA". The record is from RNAcentral. Lineage: Eukaryota; Metazoa; Arthropoda; Insecta; Coleoptera; Curculionidae.